UGGAAUGAAGCUUAAGUGGUAUAAGCAACAGACUGUUAAUCUGAAGAUAGUAGGUUCAAGUCCUAUCAUUCCAG
This 74-nucleotide transfer RNA is filed under the name Crassvirales sp. Its description in RNAcentral is "tRNA-Asn". It matches the Rfam family "tRNA". Rfam says of the family: Transfer RNA (tRNA) molecules are approximately 80 nucleotides in length. Their secondary structure includes four short double-helical elements and three loops (D, anti-codon, and T loops). The record is from RNAcentral. Lineage: Duplodnaviria; Heunggongvirae; Uroviricota; Caudoviricetes; Crassvirales.